CGUGCCAUGCUCUACUAUCGGUGUCUCAGUGCAUGCUCCUUUUGCGAAGCCUUGAUUCCGAGUGGAAAAAGUGGCAAGAAGAAAAAGCGCAAAGAGAGCACCCUGACUUUAUGGAGAACAGAGCUGAAUGGCCCUUUCAAAUAUUUGUGGAUUGAGAUUCCUGCCCUAUCAAUUGCUUAAUUGCCGAGGUCAUAAUUGGCGAUUGAAAACAGGUGCAGUUAGAGGGAGUGAAGUGCAUACCACCACCGUAAGAGUGCUGAGUCCGUCCCGCUGUACGUGGAUCGUGGUGGCCUGCCCCUCGGCGAUGGCGAUCUGAAAUUAUGAAAUUGAUAAUUAUAAUAAAUUUUGUGUGCAAUGGGA
Non-coding RNA from Drosophila bipectinata, 360 nucleotides. NCBI's taxonomy places the organism in Eukaryota, Metazoa, Arthropoda, Insecta, Diptera, Drosophilidae. The record is from RefSeq and is a predicted model, not a curated record.